UGUCUUCCUCCUCCUCUGCUUCCUUUUCCUUAUGGAGGAUUUUUCUUACGUAUCAAUCCAACAAUAAGGGUUUAUAGGAUGCCGAGUAUAUAUGGUUUUCCCUUUUAAUCCUCGAAACCUUUUGGUCUGGGGGAAGGGUGUUAAUUUGGAAUUAGGAUUGAUGGGUAGCCCCUGAAAUCGGGGUUUUUUUUAAAAUUUUUUGGUGAAUUUUUGGGGUAAUUUUUGAGGUGGGUCUAUGGAGAGGGAGGAGAAAGUGUCCAUGGAGCUCGCCGACGAGGUCAUCAAGAGCAUGGAGGUUGGCAUGGCCUUCCGAGAUUACAACGGUAGGAUCAGCUCCAUGGAUUAUCACAGCAGGGCUAGUAAUUUCCUGGUGACGGCCAGUGAUGAUGAAUCGAUUCGCCUCUACGAUGUUCAGAAUGCUGUGUGUCUGAAGACCAUUAAUAGCAAGAAGUAUGGGGUUGAUCUGGUCUGCUUCACUGAUAGUCCGAGCAUAGUUAUAUACUCCUCAAAAAAUGGUUGGGAUGAAUCUUUGCGGCUUCUUUCUCUGAAUGAUAACAAGUACUUGCGGUACUUUAAGGGCCACCAUGACAGGGUUGUUUCUCUAUCUUUGUGCCCUAGAAAGGAGUAUUUUAUCUCUGGAUCGAUUGAUCGGACUGUUCUGUUAUGGGACCAAAGGGCUGAGAGGGCUCAGGGCCUUUUACGGGUGCAAGGUAGGCCGGCGGUAUCUUUUGAUGAUCAAGGCUUGGUUUUCGCAAUUGCAUAUGGAGGGCGUAUACGGAUGUUCGAUUCUCGGAAGUAUGAUAAGGGACCUUUUGAUGUUUUUUCUGUCGGGGGGGAUGAUUCAGAAGCCAAUGUCAUAAAAUUUAGCAACGAUGGCAAGCUUAUGCUGUUGACUACCAAAGAUGGGCAUGUCCACGUGCUUGAUUCCUUCCGUGGAAACACUAUAUCCACUUAUAAUGUCAAGCCGGUUUCGAGCUAUGCUACAUUGGAGGCAUCUUUUAGUCCCGAUGGAACUCAUGUUAUAUCAGGUUCUGGGGAUGGCAGUGUUUAUGCUUGGAAUGUUAGAGGUGGCAAGGUUGCAUGUUGGGGAAGCACCGAUACAGAGCCGCCACUAAUUAAAUGGGCUCCUGGGUGCCUCAUGUUCACGACUGGAUCAUCUGAAUUAUCCUUCUGGGUUCCCGACUUGUCCAAGCUGGGCUCAUUUGCUGGAAUAAAGUAGAAAGAGAGAGUCUAGGGUUUGGGGAGAAAGGUGCAAAUAUUACCACAGUACGCGGACUAUCCAUGCUUUCUUCUGCACCAAUUCUCUGAAUCGCCUCCAUGAGUGGGAAAAUUGUGUGGCGAUAUUAUUCUUUCCUUAAUUGUGAAAGAAAUAGGUGCAUUAUGUAUGGAAUUGUCACUGAAUUCUUCCUUCUUCUCCGGUAGUAGUCGGUUCCAUUCACAAAAACGAUCUUCUGUAGAUAUCGAAAUUGUUGGAAGCGGUUAAAGUAUAUUCUUCACUCUGCAUGUCCUGUGUGUGUCACUGUUCUUGGCCAUUUGGAGGGGCUGCUACAGGUAAAAGAGUCGAAGUUGAGGGGGCAUGGGGCUCGUGGACGACGGUGUUGGACGAGAUGAAGA
This is an RNA transcript of Ananas comosus (pineapple), 1614 nucleotides long. It is a transcript of the gene named WD repeat-containing protein 82-B, with no coding region annotated. The record is from RefSeq and is a predicted model, not a curated record. NCBI's taxonomy places the organism in Eukaryota, Viridiplantae, Streptophyta, Magnoliopsida, Poales, Bromeliaceae. The transcript is spliced from 12 exons.